Molecule: transfer RNA, 82 nt
Filed under: Elsinoe australis
Lineage: Eukaryota; Fungi; Ascomycota; Dothideomycetes; Myriangiales; Elsinoaceae
Description: tRNA-Phe
Rfam family: tRNA
About the family: Transfer RNA (tRNA) molecules are approximately 80 nucleotides in length. Their secondary structure includes four short double-helical elements and three loops (D, anti-codon, and T loops).
Source: RNAcentral
GGCAUUGUGGCCCAGUGGUCUACGGCGUGGGGUUGAAGCUCCCAUCUCUUCGGAGGCCCGGGUUCAAAUCCCGGCGAUGUCG